This 2999-nucleotide ribosomal RNA is filed under the name Durio zibethinus. RNAcentral's name for it is "eukaryotic LSU rRNA". The stretch from base 339 to 2999 matches the Rfam family "Eukaryotic large subunit ribosomal RNA". The record is from RNAcentral. Lineage: Eukaryota; Viridiplantae; Streptophyta; Magnoliopsida; Malvales; Malvaceae.
AUGACUCUCAAUAACGGAUAUGUCGACUCUUGCAUCGAUGAAAUAUGUAGCAAAAUGUGAUACUUGGUGUGAAUUAUAGAAUCUCAUGAAACAUAAAGCCUUUGAAUGCAAGUUACACCCUAAGCUAUUAGGACGAGAGCAUGUCUGUCGAGGUAUCAUGCAUCAUCAGCCCUUUCAACCCCCCACCCAUCAAGCUUUAGGUGAGGGGGAGAAAGAUGGCCUCUCAUGAUUUCAUCGAUCAUGGUUGGCCUAAAAAUGAGUCCCUAAUAGCUAUAGUGCCAUGACCAUCAAUGUUAAAGCUCCUGACGUGCCUCAUCUCUAGCGAUGUGCACUCAUUAUCUAUCUAGAACCUGUUAGACCCUUGUUGACUUUAAGCAUAUUAAUAAAUGGAAGAAAAAAAACUUACUAGGAUUCCCUUAGUAAAGGCAAAUGAACUAGAGAGAGCUCAACUUGAGAAUCAAGUGCUAUCGAUGAUCGAAUAGUAGUAUAGAGAAGCAUCUUUAGCGACGGACCAAGCCUAAGUCCUCUAAAAAGAGGCACUAGAGAAGGUGAGAGCCCCAUUGUACCUAGACCUUGUCACACCAUGAGGCGCUAUCUACGAGUCAACUUGUUUGAGAAUACAACCCCAAUCAGGUGGUAAAUUCCAUCCAAGGCUAAAUAUGAAUGAGAGACUAAUAGUCAACAAGUAUCACAAGGGAAUGAUGCAAAGGACUUUGAAAAGAGAGUCCAAAUGUGCUUGAAAUUAUAAAAAAAAAGAAGUGAAUGAGGCCGACAAAGCACCCCAAUUAAUUAUGGAAUGACAAAAGUUGAUCUAUUGAUCAGCUUAAGGCAUGGAUUGAUGUUGGUCACAACAGUGGACCAAGCCCAAGCUUUCGAUAUACCCAUAGAAACAUCAUCAUCAUGAUCAUGGAAUGCAGCAUACACAUCUUGGUGCACCUUGACACCUGUAUACUCUUGGGAUUAGCCUGUAAGCUCUCUAUCAGCUCAUCUUGAAACAUGAACCAAGGAGUUUGACAUGUGUAUAAGUCAAUAGGCCAGAAAACCUAUAAGGCGUAAGGACUGAUUAGUAAGAUCUCUUGUGGUGGCACUAUCAAUUGACUUUGAUCUUCUAAAAAUAGUUUGAGUGUAUGAAUGCCUGUCAGGACUAGGAAGAAUGGUGAACUAUGCAUGAGUAGGGCAAAGCCAGAGGAAUUCUAGUGGAGGCCCUCAAUGAUACUAAUGUGUAAAUCAUUCAUCUAACUUGGGUAUAAGGUUGAAAGAAAAAUUAACCCAUCUAGUAGCUAGUACCUUCUGAAGUUUCCCUUAGGAUAGCUAGAGCCCUUAGCAAGUUUUAUCAAAUAAAGCCAAUGAUUAGAGGCAUUAGGGGUACAACACCAUUGACUUAUUUCAUACUUUAAAUAGGUAAGAUGACAUAGUUGCUUCAUUGAACCGCACCAUGAAAUCGAGAUCUUUAAGUGGGCUAUUUUUGGUAAGCAAAAUUGUUGAUGCGAGAUGAACUGGAAGCUAAGUUAUAGUGCCUAACUAUAUGCUAAUUAAGAACCCACAAAGGGUGUUGGUUGAUUAAGAUAACAGGAUGUGGUCAUGAAAGUCAAAAUCCACUAAGGGGUGUGUAGCAACUCACAUUUUGAAUCAACUAGCCCCAAAACAUGUAUGGCGUUUAAGCGCGUGACCUAUACUCGAUCAUCAGGGCAAAGACUAGGCGUCGAUAAGUAGAAGGGUGCAGUGGUCCCCAUAAAACCCCAAGGCAUAAGCUUGGACAGAGCGACCAUCAAUGUAGAUCUUGGUAGUAGUAGCAAAUAUUCAAAUGAGAACUUUGAAGGCCAAAGAGGGGAAAUGUUACAUGUGAAUAGCACUUACACAUAAGUUAAUCAAUCCUAAGAGACGGGGGAAAGCUCAUCUGAUAAUGUGUCUAGUGUGAGCUUCAAAAGGGAAUUGGGUUAAAAUGCCUAAAUUGAGAUGCAACAACUGAUAACAACAUUAUAAGUCUAAAGACAUUGGAAGGGGCCUUAAGAAGAGUUAUAUUUUUUGUUUAACAGCCUGCCCACCUUGGAAAUAGUUUAACUAUAGGUAGGGUCUAGUGGCUAGAAGAGCACCAUAAGUUGCAUGGUGUAGGAUAAGUGGGAGCCCUAUUGAGCUUGGCUUUAAUUCAAUUUUUUGAAAUGACUUGAGAGAUGAAAAGUGGAAGCCCUUAAGCAAAAUUGAAAUACCACUACUGUUAAUGUCAUUUUACUUAUUUCGUGAAUUAGAGAUGGGGCAUGACCCUUUUUUUAGGCCAAAAGCCAACCUCGAUCAAUCAAUCUUGGUGGCAAACAUUGUCAGGUAGGGAGUUUGGCUAGGGUGGCAUAUUUAUUAAAGGAUAAUAUAGGUAUUUUAAGAUGAGCUCAGUGAGAACAGAAAUCUCAUGUAGAAUACAAGGGUAAAAGUUCAUUUGAUUUUGAUUUCCAGUAUGAAUACAAACUAUGAAAGCAUGGCCUAUCAAUCAUUUAGACCUUCAAAAUUUAAAGCAAUAAGUGUUAGCAAAGUUACCACAAGGAUAACUAACUUGUGACAGCCAAGCACUCACAGUGAUGUUGCUUUUUGAUCCAUCAAUGUUGGCUCUUCUUACCAUUAUAAAAAAAAAUUCACCAAGUGUUGGAUUGUUCACCCACUAAUAGGGAACUUGAGCUAGGUUUAGACUAUUGUGAGAAGUUAGUUUUACCCUAUUGAUGAUAGCGUCACAAUAGUAAUUCAACCUAGUACAAGAAGAACCAUUGAUUCACAUAAUUGGUCAUUACGCUUGGUUGAAAAGCCAUGGCAUAAAGCUACUAUGCUAGACUAUGACUGAAUGCCUCUAAGUUAGAAUCAGGGCUAGAAGCAAUGCACAUGCCCAUCACUUGAUUGUCGACCUAUAGUAGGGGUCCAUAGCCCUUAAAGGCAUAUGUCAUAGGUGUAGCCUUCAAGGCAGAUAAGCUAUUUGGGCCUUUUUGGAGCUUAAUUCCUACCGAGUGAUAGAUUGAAUC